Molecule: transfer RNA, 73 nt
Organism: Camelus ferus (Wild Bactrian camel)
Lineage: Eukaryota; Metazoa; Chordata; Mammalia; Artiodactyla; Camelidae
Rfam family: tRNA
About the family: Transfer RNA (tRNA) molecules are approximately 80 nucleotides in length. Their secondary structure includes four short double-helical elements and three loops (D, anti-codon, and T loops).
Source: Rfam
GAGGGUGUAGCUCAAGUGGUAGAGUGCGUGCUUUGCAUGCAUGAGGUCCUGGGCUCAAUCCCCAGUGCCUCCC